GAUGAACGCUGGCGGCGUGCCUAACACAUGCAAGUCGAGCGAGAACCGCUGGAAUGACACUUCGGUAGAAUGAAAGCGGGGAAAGCGGCGGACGGGUGAGUAACGCGUAGGUAACCUGCCCCAUACACAGGGAUAGCCUAGGGAAACCUGGAUUAAUACCUGAUGAAGCAACUGGUCGCAUGACCGGCUGCCAAAGAUUUAUCGGUAUGGGAUGGACCUGCGUCUGAUUAGUGAGUUGGUGGGUAAUGGCCUACCAAAGCGACGAUCAGUAGCCGACCUGAGAGGGUGAUCGGCCACAUUGGAACUGAGACACGGUCCAAACUCCUGCGGGAGGCAGCAGUGGGGGAUAUUGCACAAUGGGCGGAAGCCUGAUGCAGCAACGCCGCGUGAGCGAAGAAGGUCUUCGGAUCGUAAAGCUCUGUCCUGGGGAAGAACAAAUGACGGUACCCCGGAGGAAGCCCGGCUAACUACGUGCCAGCAGCCGCGUAACU
RNAcentral lists this ribosomal RNA (491 nucleotides) under uncultured bacterium. Its description in RNAcentral is "bacterial SSU rRNA". It matches the Rfam family "Bacterial small subunit ribosomal RNA", at positions 28 to 524 of the family's 1533-position model. The record is from RNAcentral.